CUAUAAACAGCGGCUAUAAGCGAAAACUCUCAAAGCCUCUCGCUCACCUCGCCUCCUCCUGAACCGAGAUGGUCAAGUUCUCAAAACCAAACAAGGCCGUUAUCCUCCUACAGGGCCGCUUCGCCGGCAGGAAGGCGGUGAUUGUCCGAUCCUUCGAUGACGGCACACGCGACCGCCCUUACGGCCACUGCCUGGUCUCUGGCAUAUCCAAGUACCCAGCGAAGGUGAUCAAGAAAGACUCUGCGAAGAAGACAGCGAAGAAUUCACGAGUGAAGGCGUUUAUGAAGGUGGUGAACUACAGCCAUUUGAUCCCUACGAGAUACACACUGGAUGUGGAUUUGAAGGAUGUGGUGAG
RNAcentral lists this unclassified non-coding RNA (355 nucleotides) under Hevea brasiliensis (rubber tree). Lineage: Eukaryota; Viridiplantae; Streptophyta; Magnoliopsida; Malpighiales; Euphorbiaceae. The record is from RNAcentral.